GAGGAAAGCUGGAGGCGUGCCUAAUACAUGCAAGUCGAGCGAACGGACGAGAAGCUUGCUUCUCUGAUGUUAGCGGCGGACGGGUGAGUAACACGUGGAUAACCUACCUAUAAGACUGGGAUAACUUCGGGAAACCGUAGCUAAUACCGGAUAAUAUUUUGAACCGCAUGGUUCAAAAGUGAAAGACGGUCUUGCUGUCACUUAUAGAUGGAUCCGCGCUGCAUUAGCUAGUUGGUAAGGUAACGGCUUACCAAGGCAACGAUGCAUAGCCGACCUGAGAGGGUGAUCGGCCACACUGGAACUGAGACACGGUCCAGACUCCUACGGGAGGCAGCAGUAGGGAAUCUUCCGCAAUGGGCGAAAGCCUGACGGAGCAACGCCGCGUGAGUGAUGAAGGUCUUCGGAUCGUAAAACUCUGUUAUUAGGGAAGAACAUAUGUGUAAGUAACUGUGCACAUCUUGACGGUACCUAAUCAGAAAGCCACGGCUAACUACGUG
This 497-nucleotide ribosomal RNA is filed under the name uncultured bacterium. Its description in RNAcentral is "partial 16S ribosomal RNA". It matches the Rfam family "Bacterial small subunit ribosomal RNA", at positions 28 to 507 of the family's 1533-position model. The record is from RNAcentral.